GUCAUACGGUAACGUGGCCGAGCGGUCUAUAAGGCGCUGGUUUUAGGCACCAGUCUCUUCGGAGGCGUGGGUUCGAAUCCCACCGUUGACA
Non-coding RNA from Schistocerca cancellata (South American locust), 91 nucleotides. The record is from the annotation of a RefSeq genome assembly. Lineage: Eukaryota; Metazoa; Arthropoda; Insecta; Orthoptera; Acrididae.